GACGAACGCUGGCGGCGUGCUUAACACAUGCAAGUCGAACGGACAGACAGAGAGCUUGCUCUCUUGAAGUUAGUGGCGAACGGGUGAGUAACGCGUAAUCAACCUGCCCUUCAGAGGGGGAUAACAACGGGAAACCGUUGCUAAUACCGCGUACGAUUCAUGAACGGCAUCGUUUAUGAAUGAAAGGUGGCCUCUAUGUAUAAGCUAUCGCUGAAGGAGGGGAUUGCGUCUGAUUAGCUAGUUGGAGGGGUAACGGCCCACCAAGGCAAUGAUCAGUGGCCAGUCUGAGAGGAUGAACGGCCACAUUGGGACUGAGAAACGGCCCAAACUCCUACGGGAGGCAGCAGUGGGGAAUCUUCCGCAAUGGACGAAAGUCUGACGGAGCAACGCCGCGUGAGUGAUGAAGGUCUUCGGAUUGUAAAGCUCUGUUAAUCGGGACGAAAGAGUUCUGCGUGAAUAAUGCAGAAAAGUGACGGUACCGGAAUAGAAAGCCACGGCUAACUACGUGCCAGCAGCCGCGGUAA
Molecule: ribosomal RNA, 524 nt
Filed under: uncultured bacterium
Lineage: Bacteria
Description: partial 16S ribosomal RNA
Rfam family: Bacterial small subunit ribosomal RNA
Source: RNAcentral